Molecule: long non-coding RNA, 235 nt
Filed under: Pan troglodytes (chimpanzee)
Lineage: Eukaryota; Metazoa; Chordata; Mammalia; Primates; Hominidae
Description: long non-coding RNA NONPTRT009628
Source: RNAcentral
UUUGAGAAAUCUCGUCUCGACCAAGAGCUGAAGCUGAUCGGCGAGUAUGGGCUCAGGAACAAACGUGAGGUCUGGAGGGUCAAAUUUACCCUGGCCAAGAUCCGCAAGGCCGCCCGGGAACUGCUGACGCUUGAUGAGAAGGACCCACGGCGUCUGUUCGAAGGGUCCGCAAGCAGGUGGUGAACAUCCCGUCCUUCAUUGUCCGCCUGGAUUCCCAGAAGCACAUCGACUUCUC